GAAGGGCAGCUGGCACAGCAAACUCCAGUUCCAUGGCAGGAUCCUGCCCUGUCCUUGGGGCUGGAGCUCUGGGAGCUGUAGGAGCAGCAGUGUGGGGGAGGGAUGUGCUGUGUCCCCUCACAGCUCAGGGAAGGGCCCGGGUGUUCCCUGUCCCUGGGCUGGGAAAAGGGGAGCUGCCAUGUCAUGGGGGGACAGACUGGGGGUCUCCCAUGUCCCCAGCCCAUCCCAGGGGACCCACCAGUGGCCUGGGACAGGGAUCCUGGGGUGCUGCAGCCACCCUGGUGCUUCCAGGGGGAGGGACCCUGGGGUGCAACAUCCCUCCUUGCCUCCUUAGCUGUCCUGGUCCUGCCAGCAGCCAAAUCCUCUGGAUUCCACUCCCACUAACUCAGCCUUUGGUGCCAAUUUCUCCUCAAAAGAGUCCUCAGGGAAAACGUGCCCUGGGCAGAACCUGUCCCUGCUGGGAGGGAUCCGGGUGCUGCUGGGAUGGAGGGAACUGGAUGGGAAAGGGAGAGUUUGUCCCAGGAGUGUCUGAAAUGCUUCCCAAGGGUACAAGUGUUGGCUCCGCCAGGGAAGAGCCUGGACCCUGCUCCCAGUUUGGAAAGGUUGAAUUAAGUGGUGCCUCUGGAAUAACAGGGAUGGCUCCAGGGUGAGACCUGGAUUCCCACAACACCAGAGGGAGAUGGUGCCUCCUGCUUUGGCUUUGCUGCUCAGGCUGAGGGGAUGAUCCCUGUUCUCCCUCUGCCUCGUGCUCUCCUGGAGGAUGAAGAGACCUGGAAUAGAUCCCAGGUGUGGUGGGGAUCAAUGUGGGAUCCAGCUGGGAGACAGGGAUCAGGGUGGGGUCCCAGAUGGGAGCGGGGGAACAAGGUGGGAUCCAGUUGGGAGCACAGAGAUCCACUGUCCAUGGAUCCCCUGAUCCACCCGUACCUGACGGAGGAGAACAAGGAAGCAGCUGCCCGGGAGCACAUCCAGGAGCUGCCAAACGAGUCCCCUGUGUCACUGUCACCCUCAGCAGGUCUCCUGCUGCAAUUCUUCCCCUGCUCCCUCCAGUCCCUCUCCCUCCUCCUCCUCCUCCUCCCUCCCUCAGACCUUCCCCCCCAUCCCUCCCUCCCUCUUCCCUCUCUUCCUUCAGCCAAUAUCCCUGAAAUAAAGGUAAAUCCCUGUUUGAGGCAGGACUCUGGUGGCUGUUGGUGUUGGGCUGGGCAGUGCUUGGAGAUCAGAACAUCCUUGGGUUUAAAAUUAAAACAAAAUUAAUAAAUCCCUUCA
Long non-coding RNA from Chiroxiphia lanceolata (lance-tailed manakin), 1263 nucleotides. RefSeq lists it as uncharacterized. Lineage: Eukaryota; Metazoa; Chordata; Aves; Passeriformes; Pipridae. The transcript has 2 exons. The record is from RefSeq and is a predicted model, not a curated record.